CAGGAUGAACGCUAGCUACAGGCUUAACACAUGCAAGUCGAGGGGCAGCAUGAUCGAAGCUUGCUUUGAUUGAUGGCGACCGGCGCACGGGUGAGUAACGCGUAUCCAACCUUCCCUAUAGUAGAGAAUAGCCCGGCGAAAGUCGGAUUAAUGCUCUAUGUUGUAUUUAGAAGACAUCUGAAGAAUACCAAAGGUUUACCGCUAUAGGAUGGGGAUGCGUCUGAUUAGGUGUUGGCGGGGUAACGGCCCACCAAGCCCACGAUCAGUAGGGGUUCUGAGAGGAAGGUCCCCCACAUUGGAACUGAGACACGGUCCAAACUCCUACGGGAGGCAGCAGUGAGGAAUAUUGGUCAAUGGACGAAAGUCUGAACCAGCCAAGUAGCCGUGCAGGAUGACGGCCCUAUGGGUUGUAAACUGCUUUUAUACAGGGAUAAAGUGAGGGACGUGUCCCUUUUUGUAGGUACUGUAUGAAUAAGGACCGGCUAAUUCCGUGCCAGCCGCGGC
This 504-nucleotide ribosomal RNA is filed under the name uncultured bacterium. Its description in RNAcentral is "bacterial SSU rRNA". It matches the Rfam family "Bacterial small subunit ribosomal RNA", at positions 25 to 518 of the family's 1533-position model. The record is from RNAcentral.